RNAcentral lists this ribosomal RNA (385 nucleotides) under uncultured bacterium. RNAcentral's name for it is "bacterial SSU rRNA". It matches the Rfam family "Bacterial small subunit ribosomal RNA", at positions 73 to 458 of the family's 1533-position model. The record is from RNAcentral.
GGAGUGAAGAAUCUCUGGAUUAGUGGCGGACGGGUGAGUAACGCGUGAGCAAUCUGCCUUACACAAAGGGAUAGCCUCGGGAAACCGGGAUUAAUACCAUAUGAUAUCUAUUAACCGCAUGGUUUAUAGAUUAAAGAAUUUCGGUGUAAGAUGAGCUCGCGUCCCAUUAAUUAGUUGGUGAGGGUAACGGCCCACCAAGAUAGCGAUGGGUAGCCGAUCUAAGAGGAUGACCGGCCACAUUGGAACUGAGAAACGGUCCAAACUCCUACGGGAGGCAGCAGUGGGGAAUAUUGCACAAUGGGGGAAACCCUGAUGCAGCGACGCCGCGUGAGCGAUGAAGGCUUUCGAGUCGUAAAGCUCUGUCCUAUGGGAAGAUAAUGACGGU